RNAcentral lists this transfer RNA (72 nucleotides) under Candidatus Gottesmanbacteria bacterium. RNAcentral's name for it is "tRNA-Lys". It matches the Rfam family "tRNA". From Rfam's summary of the family: Transfer RNA (tRNA) molecules are approximately 80 nucleotides in length. Their secondary structure includes four short double-helical elements and three loops (D, anti-codon, and T loops). The record is from RNAcentral. Lineage: Bacteria; Candidatus Gottesmaniibacteriota.
GGGUCGGUAGCUCAACGGUAGAGCAGUAGCCUUUUAAGCUAUUGGUUCUGAGUUCGAAUCUCAGCCGACUCA